AGAGUUUGAUCCUGGCUCAGAAUGAACGCUGGCGGCGUGCUUAACACAUGCAAGUCGAACGGUAACAGAGAGAAGCUUGCUUCUCUGCUGACGAGUGGCGCACGGGUGAGUAAUAUAUAGGUUACGUGCCCCUUAGUCUGGGAUAGCCACUGGAAACGGUGAUUAAUACUGGAUAUUCCGGCUUGCAGGGAAAGGUUUUUCGCUAAGGGAUCGGCUUAUACUGUAUCAGCUAGUUGGUGAGGUAAUGGCUCACCAAGGCGAUGACACAUAGCGGGUUUGAGAGGAUGAUCCGCCACACUGGUACUGAGACACGGACCAGACUCCUACGGGAGGCAGCAGUGAGGAAUAUUGCACAAUGGGGGAAACCCUGAUGCAGCAACGCCGCGUGGAGGAUGACGCAUUUCGGUGUGUAAACUCCUUUUAUCAGAGAAGAACAUGACGGUAUCUGAUGAAUAAGCUCCGGCUAACUCCGUGCCAGCAGCCGCGGUAAUACGGAGGGAGCAAGCGUUAUUCGGAAUCACUGGGCGUAAAGGACGC
Molecule: ribosomal RNA, 537 nt
Filed under: uncultured bacterium
Lineage: Bacteria
Description: bacterial SSU rRNA
Rfam family: Bacterial small subunit ribosomal RNA
Source: RNAcentral